This 619-nucleotide long non-coding RNA is filed under the name Hordeum vulgare. RNAcentral's name for it is "long non-coding RNA (HVUL_LNC002364)". The record is from RNAcentral. Lineage: Eukaryota; Viridiplantae; Streptophyta; Magnoliopsida; Poales; Poaceae.
UUAAGCAAACCAUGGGAUUCUUCAUCCAUAGAGUUGGUAUCUUCCAUGAUCUCAAUAUAUGCUCCCAAGCUCUACCUGAAUCGUCAUAUAUGCUUCUGAAUUAAACUGAAGGAACAACAAUAAAUUACAAAUACACAAACACCAUAGUAGUGUGAUCUGUUGGAUAAAGUAGUACAUACGAAUACGUACCAUGGAGACCCAAGUGCACAUGCAUGUGCAGGUAUAAGCAUGCUAACACAUCAAUGACUUGAGUGAGCGGGCUUUAACAGGCUUCCUCCACCUCUUCUUAAAUGGGCUCUUCUUCUUGAUGUUGCCGUUGCCAACAACCCGGGGUUCNGGGCGGGGGCGGGGGCGGGAGGUCGGAUUGGGGCGGGGUGGGGCCGGAGUAGGCGGAGCCGAGCAGGCGGGAGGCGGACCUGCGGAUCCUCAUGGCGAGGCGGCGGGCGGCGCGGGGAGGGAUCUGGGGCGCUGGCUAGGGUUUGGUUUGGGAUUUGGGCUGGUGCGGCAGCACGGGAUGGAUCGGAGCGGACUGCGGAGGAGGUCGAGACGAAGCUGUGGAGUGUGUGUGUGGGUCGGGUGGUCUGUUUAUAGGAGCAUUUGGUUGGGCCGACCUAGCUAG